This 1004-nucleotide ribosomal RNA is filed under the name Paramesotriton sp. GZNU2006030004. Its description in RNAcentral is "partial 16S ribosomal RNA". The stretch from base 156 to 1004 matches the Rfam family "Bacterial large subunit ribosomal RNA", at positions 568 to 2037 of the family's 2925-position model. Lineage: Eukaryota; Metazoa; Chordata; Amphibia; Caudata; Salamandridae. The record is from RNAcentral. RNAcentral also lists the same sequence under 2 other names.
AGUUAAAAUUAUAGCCAAACAAACCUAAACUACCAAAAAACAAAACAAACCAUUUAAUUUAAUAGUAUGGGCGAUAGAAAUUUAUUAUGAGCAAUAAAAAAAGUACCGUAAGGGAAAGAUGAAAUAAAAAUGAAAUAAAUAAUAAAAACAAAAAAAAGAAAAGGCUAAACCCUGUACCUUUUGCAUAAUGGUCUAGCAAGUCCAACCUAACAAAAAGAAAUAAAGUUAGCCACCCCGAAACUAGACGAGCUACUUAAGAGCAGCAUUAACCAGAGCCAACCCGUCUCUGUGGCAAAAGAGUGGGAUGACUUUUGAGUAGAGGUGAAAAGCCUAACGAGCCUAGUGAUAGCUGGUUACUUGAGAAAUGAAUAUUAGUUCAGCUUAAAGCAUCUUUAUUAUUAAAAAAUAAAAAUAGCACUUUAAAGUUAAUUAAUAGGGGUACAGCCCUAUUAAUAAAGGAUACAACCUACAUAAUGAAUAAAGAUUAUAUUAACAAAAGAAAUUAACCGCGUAGGCCUAAAAGCAGCCACCACAAGAAAGCGUCAAAGCUCAACUUAACAACCCCCCUUAUUAUACUAAUAAAAAAAUCUAAAUUCACAAAACAUAUCAAGCCCAUCUACUAGUAGAUAAGUUUAUACUAGAAUGAGUAACAAGAACAAAUUCUCUACAUGCAAGCGUAAAUCAGAACGAAAGCAUCACUGAUAAUUAACAACUUUAAACACCCAACAACAAGAAAAACACAUUAAAACAAUUGUUAACCCAACACAGGAGCAUAAAAAAAGAUUUAAAGAUUAAAAAGGAACUCGGCAACCAUAGAGCUCCGCCUGUUUACCAAAAACACCGCCUCUUGCCCUCCCAAUAUAAGAGGUCCCGCCUGCCCAGUGAUUAAUUUUAACGGCCGCGGUAUCAUGACCGUGCAAAGGUAGCGUAAUCACUUGUCUUUUAAAUAAAGACCUGUAUGAAAGGCAAAACGAAAGCUCAACUGUCUCUUUAAUCUAAUCAGU